RNAcentral lists this ribosomal RNA (513 nucleotides) under uncultured bacterium. RNAcentral describes it as "bacterial SSU rRNA". It matches the Rfam family "Bacterial small subunit ribosomal RNA", at positions 14 to 518 of the family's 1533-position model. The record is from RNAcentral.
CGAUUCUGGCUCAGGAUGAACGCUAGCUACAGGCUUAACACAUGCAAGUCGAGGGGCAGCAUGGAGUUGCUUGCAAACUCUGAUGGCGACCGGCGCACGGGUGAGUAACGCGUAUCCAACCUUCCCUAUAGUAGAGGAUAGCCCGGCGAAAGUCGGAUUAAUACUCUAUGUUUCCGUUGCAGACAUCUAAGAUGGAACAAAGGCUUGCCGCGUAUAGGAUGGGGAUGCGUCUGAUUAGAUAGUAGGCGGGUAACGGCCCACCUAGUCGACGAUCAGUAGGGGUUCUGAGAGGAAGGUCCCCCACAUUGGAACUGAGACACGGUCCAAACUCCUACGGGAGGCAGCAGUGAGGAAUAUUGGUCAAUGGGCGAGAGCCUGAACCAGCCAAGUAGCGUGCAGGAUGACGGCCCUAUGGGUUGUAAACUGCUUUUAUAUGGGGAUAAAGUCACCCACGUGUGGGUGUUUGUAGGUACCAUAUGAAUAAGGACCGGCUAAUUCCGUGCCAGCCGCGGC